GCGAGCCCUGAGAUGAGUCUUCCCUGACAGUUUAACUGUCCUAAAGGGUUGUUCGAGACUAGAACGUUGAUAGGCAGGGUGUGUAAGCGUUGUGAGGCGUUGAGCUAACCUGUACUAAUUGCCCGUGAGGCUUAACCAUACAACACCCAAGGGGUUUUGUA
Molecule: ribosomal RNA, 161 nt
Filed under: Vibrio cholerae
Lineage: Bacteria; Pseudomonadati; Pseudomonadota; Gammaproteobacteria; Vibrionales; Vibrionaceae
Description: partial 23S ribosomal RNA
Rfam family: Bacterial large subunit ribosomal RNA (bases 1-139)
Source: RNAcentral